UACGAAGGGGGCUAGCGUUGCUCGGAAUCACUGGGCGUAAAGCGCACGUAGGCGGAUUCUUAAGUCAGGGGUGAAAUCCUGGAGCUCAACUCCAGAACUGCCUUUGAUACUGGGAAUCUCGAGUCCGGGAGAGGUGAGUGGAACUGCGAGUGUAGAGGUGAAAUUCGUAGAUAUUCGCAAGAACACCAGUGGCGAAGGCGGCUCACUGGCCCGAUACUGACGCUGAUGCACGAAAGCGUGGGGAGCAAACAGG
This 253-nucleotide ribosomal RNA is filed under the name uncultured bacterium. Its description in RNAcentral is "partial 16S ribosomal RNA". It matches the Rfam family "Bacterial small subunit ribosomal RNA", at positions 524 to 776 of the family's 1533-position model. The record is from RNAcentral.